UGAGCAAUCUGCCCUUCUCAUCGGAAUAAGCGUUGGAAACGACGUCUAAUGCCGAAUACGACCUCCUUUCGCAUGAUCGGAGGUGGAAAGCUCCGGCGGAGAAGGAUGAGCUCGCGGCCUAUCAGCUAGUUGGUGUGGGUAAUGGCCCACCAAGGCGACGAUGGGUAGCCGGCCUGAGAGGGCGACCGGCCACACUGGGACUGAGACACGGCCCAGACUCCUAGGAGG
This 228-nucleotide ribosomal RNA is filed under the name uncultured bacterium. RNAcentral describes it as "partial 16S ribosomal RNA". It matches the Rfam family "Bacterial small subunit ribosomal RNA", at positions 118 to 348 of the family's 1533-position model. The record is from RNAcentral.